CCUACGGGUGGCAGCAGUGAGGAAUAUUGGUCAAUGGGCGCGAGCCUGAACCAGCCAAGUAGCGUGAAGGAUGACUGCCCUACGGGUUGUAAACCUCUUUUGCCGGGGAGCAACGGGCGCCACGUGUGGCGCCACUGAGAGUACCCGGAGAAAAAGCAUCGGCUAACUCCGUGCCAGCAGCCGCGGUAAUACGGAGGAUGCGAGCGUUAUCCGGAUUUAUUGGGUUUAAAGGGUGCGUAGGCGGAGCGUUAAGUCAGUGGUCAAAUUGAGGGGCUCAACACCUGCCCGCCAUUGAAACUGGCGUUCUUGAGUGGAAGAGAAGUAUGCGGAAUGCGUGGUGUAGCGGUGAAAUGCAUAGAUAUCACGCAGAACCCCGGUUGCGAAGGCAGCAUGCCGGCUUCCGACUGACGCUGAGGCACGAAAGCGUGGGGAUCGAACAGGAUUAGAUACCCCAGUAGUC
This 460-nucleotide ribosomal RNA is filed under the name uncultured bacterium. Its description in RNAcentral is "partial 16S ribosomal RNA". It matches the Rfam family "Bacterial small subunit ribosomal RNA", at positions 338 to 795 of the family's 1533-position model. The record is from RNAcentral.